GAGUUUGAUCAUGGCUCAGAACGAACGUUGGCGGCGUGCUUAACACAUGCAAGUCGAACGAGAACGGUUCCUUCGGGAGCUUAGUAAAGUGGCGCACGGGUGAGUAACACGUAGAUAACCUGUCCAGGUGUUCGGGAUAGCCCUUCGAAAGGGGGAUUAAUACCGGAUACGUUAGUCUGUUAUAAGGCAGAUUAAGAAAGGUGGCCUCUAUUUAUAAGCUAUCGCAUUUGGAGGGGUCUGCGUACCAUUAGUUUGCUGGUGGGGUAAAGGCCUACCAAGACUUCGAUGGUUAGCGGGUCUGAGAGGAUGAUCCGUCACACUGGCACUGAAACACGGGCCAGACUCCUACGGGAGGCAGCAGUGAGGAAUAUUGCGCAAUGGGGGAAACCCUGACGCAGCGACGCCGCGUGGGUGAGGAAGGCUUUCGGUCGUAAAGCCCUGUCAGAAGGGAAGAAAUGUGUAUAGGUUAAUAUCUUAUACAUUUGACGGUACCUUCAAAGGAAGCACCGGCUAACUCCGUGCCAGCCGCCGCGGUAAU
Molecule: ribosomal RNA, 538 nt
Filed under: uncultured microorganism
Description: bacterial SSU rRNA
Rfam family: Bacterial small subunit ribosomal RNA
Source: RNAcentral